GGAGCCCGGGGCGGCUGGGCCGGGUCUGCAGGGACGGGAGGUUUGGGAUCCUCCGGGAAGGAUCGACGUAACCGAGUGGGCCGGGACUGGGGAAAAAGAGUCAGACGGCCCGGAAGGAAGCAGGCGGGGCGCGGGGCCUGGUGCACUCGGAAAGUGGGACGUCUGAGUGUGAAAGGGAGGGCAGGGGCCUGCAAACCCAUUCUGCCUGGAGCUGGCAGAACAGCUGUCAAAUUAACCGGAGUAGGUUUAAUGCGGCUUAUUGGGUAGAGUGGAUGAUGCUCGCACAUCGCCACACCAGACCCCACCCCCAAAGGAGAAUAACCCAAGUCCCGGCUCUCGGUCCGGUGGCUUGUCCCUUCUCUGCUCUCCGGCCUCUGGAGCCCCGAGCCCCAGGCAGCUUGCGGUGGAGAAGGGAUGGGGAUGGGGGAGGGCAGAGGCUGACGACUUCAAGUACUGUCUUAAGGGUUUUAGGAUAUUUUCAGUCUAAUAUGUGACGCCUGCAAAAUAAUAUAAUGAACAAGUGUGUACAUUUUAAAGCACGCUGAGAAAACGGAAGGCUGUGACUCCGCCAGGUUACCAACAUUACGCAGAGAACUGAGACAGGAACCAGCCUAAAGAGACACAGCCGUCUGCAAGGCCCCUGGCCUCACAAGAUAAGGCCCCCAAUCAAUCGGCAAGCUGGGAGAAUCGGAUAGAGGCCGCCAGGAUCCAAGUUCAGCAGCUUCAGGACUCUCCUGGGCUUACGACGCACCCCAGCACCCAGGAGCUGACUGAAGCUGAGCCUAGCGACAUCACCACAUUGAAAAUCACACUCGGGGCGGAGUGCUAGCAUCCUAAGCUACACGCAGGGCGUGUGGUGGCAUGUAGUGCAACAGCACAAGUGCAAGAAGACAACCCCCCCCUUACAGGCCAGGACAGGGCCCUCCUCCCCAGCCUUUGCCUAAUAAAAGCCUCACAAUCCCACUCCAUAACGAGCCAGUCAUCUGCCCCUUUCCUUCCUGCACCGGCUCCCUCAUCCUUGCCCUGUGCAUGAGCUAAUCAACUUUUACUUUUCUACUCCACUUUGUUGUCUCUCUUGAUUUCCAUCCUGGGGGCCAACAAGAACCCAAUGUGCCGGUAACAGAACCACUUUCAAAUUUAGGUAGUUUAACAUUAAUAUAAUACUCGUGUCUAAUAUACAGGCUAUAUUGACAUUCCGCCAUUUGUUCCACUAAUGUGCUUUAGAGCAGCUUUUUUCCCCAAUCCAGGAUCCAGUCUAAGAUCUUUUCACUCUCUCUAUGGAGUCCUUUGAUGAGUGAAAGUUCUUAAGUUUAAUGCAGUUAAAUUUGUCAGUCUUUUCUUUUGUACUUAGCAACUUCGGCAUCUAGAAAAUCCUUGCCCUGCCAGGGGUUGGGGGGCAGGGGGAUGAGGAGCACAGAGGAAUUUUCGGGCAGUGAAAGUAUUCUGUAUGGUACUGUAAUGGUGGACACGUCAUUAUUCGUUUGUCCAAACCCAGAGAAUGCACGACACCAAGAGGGAACCCUGAUGUAAACUGCACUUUAGGGGAUAAUAAUGAGUCAACGCAGGGUCAUCCGUGCGGUGGGGGAUGUUGAUAAUGGGGGAGGCUGUGUGUGAAUGGGGCUGGGGGUCUGGGAAGUCGCUGUACCUUCUACUUAAUUUUGCUGUAAACCUAAAACUGCCCUAAAAAGCGUCUAUUAAAGAAAAGGUCCUUGCCUACCCCAAA
Molecule: non-coding RNA, 1723 nt
Organism: Equus caballus (horse)
Lineage: Eukaryota; Metazoa; Chordata; Mammalia; Perissodactyla; Equidae
Source: RefSeq, a predicted model, not a curated record